GAUGAACGCUAGCUACAGGCUUAACACAUGCAAGUCGAGGGGCAGCAUGACGAUAGCUUGCUAUCGUUGAUGGCGACCGGCGCACGGGUGAGUAACGCGUAUCCAACCUGCCCUUGUCCGCCGGAUAACCCGUCGAAAGGCGGACUAACACGGUAUGCAGUCCACAGCAGACAUCUAACGUGGACGAAAUGUGAAGGAGAAGGAUGGGGAUGCGUCUGAUUAGCUUGUUGGCGGGGUAACGGCCCACCAAGGCGACGAUCAGUAGGGGUUCUGAGAGGAAGGUCCCCCACAUUGGAACUGAGACACGGUCCAAACUCCUACGGGAGGCAGCAGUGAGGAAUAUUGGUCAAUGGGCGAGAGCCUGAACCAGCCAAGUAGCGUGCAGGAAGACGGCCCUAUGGGUUGUAAACUGCUUUUAUACGGGGAUAAAGUGAGACACGUGUGGCUUAUUGCAGGUACCGUAUGAAUAAGGACCGGCUAAUUCCGUGCCAGCCGCCGCCGUAA
This 504-nucleotide ribosomal RNA is filed under the name uncultured bacterium. RNAcentral's name for it is "partial 16S ribosomal RNA". It matches the Rfam family "Bacterial small subunit ribosomal RNA", at positions 28 to 523 of the family's 1533-position model. The record is from RNAcentral.